RNAcentral lists this non-coding RNA (29 nucleotides) under Rattus norvegicus (Norway rat). The record is from RNAcentral. Lineage: Eukaryota; Metazoa; Chordata; Mammalia; Rodentia; Muridae.
UGAAACUAAUUCUGUUAACUGUAUAAAAA